CCCGAGAAUCCGAAAGUAUGUGUGCGCGGUUACUCCUGUCAACACGCCCAGGGUGCUUGCGCAUUACACACGGUUUUAGGAAUAUACUGUCGCUCCCUUGCGGGCCGUACUCCAGCCGUUUGGGUGCUCAGGUGUAUAUUCGUGUCAACACGAGUGAGCUCCCUCAGAGCCAGGUGUGAAGGGGUCCCCGAAAUCACUACCGGUACUGAAGUGCAAGGUUCCGAAACUUCACGUUUGUCCGACGAAAAUGGAUGGAGCUCCGCAGGGGUCUAAAUUCUCCAAUAUGAUGGCUGAGUUUGCGGGAAUGUUGCCACUCAAAGGGGAAAUCAGUUACAAAGAUCCGGGAACCGGUACUGUUUACAAAGUAAAGAUAAAAAAAUCCAAACCACCGAGAUUUUGUAGGAAGAAAAGAGAGAAAUAUCCAACUGAUGAGGGUUACGAACUGCCCGGAUGCCCGAAUAGGCCUCUCCCUCCAGCACCGAAUGGGCGAAGGCUGUCAGAACCUCUGGAGCCUGACUCGAAUAGCGACUUUGAAGAUCCUGUGUAUGACCCAAUCCCUGAUGGUGACAUGGAUUGGUUUCCCAAGUCGGGAAAGCAUGGCACCAGCCACGGUUCAGAUGACGGUGUCCCAGGUUUUAUGAAUACAGUCGGCGUUGAUUCUUGCAGUGGGCAGCAACAAGAGCUGCAAUACGAAAUUCUCGAACUUGACAGCAGCCACAAUCAGAAUAGCGGUGAUUGUGGAAAAGAAUCUGAUGAAUUGUACACUCGACUUAAGCGCCGCGCAAAUAGAUCUGAUGUGUAAAUCAAAAGUUGUUUUGUGCGUUGAUUUUACAUGCUAUGAUGUGAUCAGUUCUGAUUUUCAAAUGAGAACUUCUUUCAGCGUGAUUCGUUUGUCUGCAGAAAACAGAAACAUUUCCUUGAAUUCCUUGCUAUGACUAGCAAGAGUGGACCACUGGAGAGGUUAAUAAUGACGGGAAAAAUACCCAGCACAUAGUGCCGAGCCCCAGAAAGGCCUUUAAAAGGUCCUAUAUCAAACAUAUUCCACAUUUUUGGCGCCACCCAAAGCCAAUCCACCUCUCUCGAAAAAGCUUGGUUUGAGAUCCAUUUGAUGUUCAGAAAUGAAACCGACCAACGUAAGAAAAUGAUGAGGUAUGAAUGUAACUAAAUCUUUCUUCCAACAUUAGAGUAUAAAAAGUGACAUCUUUGGGAAAUGAAUUUAAUUUGGACAAAUGUAUAUUCAGCGUAACUGUACAGACUAUGUAGAGAUGAUGUAUAAAAUAAUAAUUUGUUCUCAAUGUUGAAAAUGUGUAAAGCAUCAAUAAUUAUUGAACAUGUAUUAUGUCUUUCAUUAUGUAUUCUGUAAAACAACAUUAUGUAUGUGAUUAGUGAUCCCGGGAAGUAGAUUCCACGCGGGAUAGGUCAGGCUUAUACCUCAAAAUGUUAUUCAUAUCGACAACAAAUAAGCGUAUAUGAUAUUUUGCUUUAAAUUUUGAAAAAUCGUAUGUAGUGCUAGAACUGAUAAGAUCGUUUCAGUUUCAAACAGCGACAGCCCAACUGAAGUAGAAGCAUUCAGAAUGAUGUAUAAAAUUGUUGGUAAAAUGGGAAAAUGUGUCUCGAGGGCUGAAAAUCCUGGAAUUAGACCUACCUCAAAGUAGCUGACAUCUUCAGGCCGGGGACUGGAGGCACAGCUUUAGCAAGUGAGUGGUGUAUGUUGCAAUAAUGGUGGGAAAUUCCCCACUCAUACUUCAGUGAAAGAAAUGACCUUUUGUAUUGACCCCCGCCGCUGUUAUUCAUUCUGUGUUCUCAGCCAUGGUCACAAAGGCAAUAAAAUGACAAAGCCGAGGAAUGGUCGAAAUUCCAAAAGUCGUGAGCAUUUCUUAAUCUUGCACUCUAAUGUGAUGUGUGGAUUGUCCUCAUAUUAGGUUCUUGUAUUUGUCUAAUGCUUGUAUGAUCUUUUUAAUGCCUAUUUUUCCUUGCAAAUUGCUUUAGAGCGUUGGCUCCGUCAUUACACGAUUUUGUUUUCUUUUACGUGUCUUUUUAUCCUUUUGUUUUCAUGAGCCAAAUUAAUUAAAGCAACACCGGAAAAGAUGUUGCUCAAUGUGCUCAAACUUUGAAAUUAGCUUUUCAGUAUCAUAAUGCAUUCAGGGAAUUAAGCAAAGGCGAUAACAGUAUUUUUGAAGAAAGGGCAGUUAAUCGAUUAAAACUGGAACUCUUGAUGGUGGUUUAUUAGUCUUGCAACUGGUAACAACGUUGUUUAGGUUGAGGGAGAAGUACUGCUUGCAGGUGCAGAAAGGGAGCAAUCCCUAUUGGAAGAAGAUUCUGCUCUGAGAAAAGAGCCGGUGGUCAGAAAAGAUCCCGAUGUUUCGACCAGCGUGCUCAAUAUUUACCAUGUGUACACUAUUCAGCUUUCAGGGCCAGACACUUCAAACAACACGUCGCUGUCACUCAAAAUGCUUUCCGCAUUGUGCCCGCAUAAAAGACAAUGAAUUGGUACUAACCACUAACCAAUGUGUCAAUGUACAGUCUAGUUUCCAUUGUUAAUAAUCAAGAUAUCCCUUAAAUGAGGUAUCUUAAGGCUCAUUAAGGGGGUAUUGGAGUACUUUUAAGAUUGUAAGGAGUACAAUUAAGAUUUUUAAUAGUCUACGAAUAGUGACUUUGUGAUGCAUUAUUUUUAAUGGUUUAUAUUUUGUUAUCGUUUAGAAAUGCCUGUGUAAGCUGCAUGUUUGUGCCUUUUACAAUGGCUAAUUAAAACAGAUGAAUUUAAAUGUUGACCU
Molecule: long non-coding RNA, 2774 nt
Organism: Acanthaster planci (crown-of-thorns starfish)
Lineage: Eukaryota; Metazoa; Echinodermata; Asteroidea; Valvatida; Acanthasteridae
Source: RefSeq, a predicted model, not a curated record